This 159-nucleotide ribosomal RNA is filed under the name Caloplaca sp. Spribille 9397. RNAcentral describes it as "5.8S ribosomal RNA". It matches the Rfam family "5.8S ribosomal RNA". Rfam says of the family: 5.8S ribosomal RNA (5.8S rRNA) is a component of the large subunit of the eukaryotic ribosome. It is transcribed by RNA polymerase I as part of the 45S precursor that also contains 18S and 28S rRNA. The record is from RNAcentral. Lineage: Eukaryota; Fungi; Ascomycota; Lecanoromycetes; Teloschistales; Teloschistaceae.
AAAACUUUCAACAACGGAUCUCUUGGUUCUGGCAUCGAUGAAGAACGCAGCGAAAUGCGACAAGUAAUGUGAAUUGCAGAAUUCAGUGAAUCAUCGAAUCUUUGAACGCACAUUGCGCCCUUUGGUAUUCCGAAGGGCAUGCCUGUUCGAGCGUCAUUA